GUUAAGUGACUAAGCGUACACGGUGGAUGCCUAGGCAGCCAGAGGCGAUGAAGGGCGUGCUAAUCUGCGAUAAGCGUCGGUAAGGUGAUAUGAACCGCAAUAACCGACGAUACCCGAAUGGGGAAACCCAGUGCAAUCCGUUGCACUAUCAUUAACUGAAUCCAUAGGUUAAUGAGGCGAACCGGGGGAACUGAAACAUCUCAGUACCCCGAGGAAAAGAAAUCAACCGAGAUUCCCCCAGUAGCGGCGAGCGAACGGGGAAGAGCCCAGAACCUGAAUCAUCAGCAGCAUUAAUGGAAGCGUCUGGAAAGUCGCGCGACACAGGGUGAUAGCCCCGUACAUGAAAGUGCAGUUGGUGUGAGUUCGAUGAGUAGGGCGGGACACGUGUUAUCCUGUCUGAAUAUGGGGGGACCAUCCUCCAAGGCUAAAUACUCCUGGCUGACCGAUAGUGAACCAGUACCGUGAGGGAAAGGCGAAAAGAACCCCGGCGAGGGGAGUGAAAUAGAACCUGAAACCGUGUACGUACAAGCAGUGGGAGCCUCUCUUUAUGGGGGGUGACUGCGUACCUUUUGUAUAAUGGGUCAGCGACUUAUAUUCUGUAGCAAGGUUAACCGAAUAGGGGAGCCGCAGGGAAACCGAGUCUUAACUGGGCGUCUUAGUUGCAGGGUAUAGACCCGAAACCCGGUGAUCUAGCCAUGGGCAGGUUGAAGGUUGGGUAACACUAACUGGAGGACCGAACCGACUAAUGUUGAAAAAUUAGCGGAUGACUUGUGGCUGGGGGUGAAAGGCCAAUCAAACCGGGAGAUAGCUGGUUCUCCCCGAAAGCUAUUUAGGUAGCGCCUCGUGAACUCAUCUUCGGGGGUAGAGCACUGUUUCGACUAGGGGGUCAUCCCGACUUACCAACUCGAUGCAAACUGCGAAUACCGAAGAAUGUUAUCACGGGAGACACACGGCGGGUGCUAACGUCCGUCGUGAAGAGGGAAACAACCCAGACCGCCAGCUAAGGUCCCAAAGUCAUGGUUAAGUGGGAAACGAUGUGGGAAGGCACAGACAGCCAGGAUGUUGGCUUAGAAGCAGCCAUCAUUUAAAGAAAGCGUAAUAGCUCACUGGUCGAGUCGGCCUGCGCGGAAGAUGUAACGGGGCUAAACCAUGCACCGAAGCUGCGGCAGCGACACUUAGGUGUUGUUGGGUAGGGGAGCGUUCUGUAAGCCUGCGAAGGUAGACUGUGAGGUCUGCUGGAGGUAUCAGAAGUGCGAAUGCUGACAUAAGUAACGAUAAAGCGGGUGAAAAGCCCGCUCGCCGGAAGACCAAGGGUUCCUGUCCAACGUUAAUCGGGGCAGGGUGAGUCGACCCCUAAGGCGAGGCCGAAAGGCGUAGUCGAUGGGAAACGGGUUAAUAUUCCCGUACUUGGUGUUACUGCGAAGGGGGGACGAAGAAGGCUAGGCCGGCCGGGUGACGGUUAUCCCGGUUUAAGCGUGUAGGUGGGCAGUCCUGGUAAAUCCGGUCUGCUGUAUAACACUGAGGCGUGAUGACGAGUCUCUACGGAGAUGAAGUGGUUGAUGCCCUGCUUCCAGGAAAAGCCUCUAAGCAUCAGGUAACACGAAAUCGUACCCCAAACCGACACAGGUGGUCAGGUAGAGAAUACUCAGGCGCUUGGGAGAACUCGGGUGAAGGAACUAGGCAAAAUGGUGCCGUAACUUCGGGAGAAGGCACGCUGGCAAUAGGUGAAGUGGCUUGCCCAUGGAGCCGAAGCCAGUCGAAGAUACCAGCUGGCUGCAACUGUUUAUUAAAAACACAGCACUGUGCAAACACGAAAGUGGACGUAUACGGUGUGACGCCUGCCCGGUGCUGGAAGGUUAAUUGAUGGGGUUAGCGCAAGCGAAGCUCUUGAUCGAAGCCCCAGUAAACGGCGGCCGUAACUAUAACGGUCCUAAGGUAGCGAAAUUCCUUGUCGGGUAAGUUCCGACCUGCACGAAUGGCGUAAUGAUGGCCAGGCUGUCUCCACCCGAGACCCAGUGAAAUUGAACUCGCAGUGAAGAUGCUGUGUACCCGCGGCAAGACGGAAAGACCCCGUGAACCUUUACUAUAGCUUGACACGGAACAUUGAACCUUGAUGUGUAGGAUAGGUGGGAGGCUUUGAAGCAUGUACGCCAGUACGUGUGGAGCCAACCUUGAAAUACCACCCUUUAAUGUUUGAUGUUCUAACUUAGCCCCGUUAUCCGGGGUGAGGACAGUGUCUGGUGGGUAGUUUGACUGGGGCGGUCUCCUCCCAAAGAGUAACGGAGGAGCACGAAGGUUGGCUAAUCCUGGUCGGACAUCAGGAGGUUAGUGCAAAGGCAUAAGCCAGCUUGACUGCGAGAGUGACGGCUCGAGCAGGUACGAAAGUAGGUCUUAGUGAUCCGGUGGUUCUGUAUGGAAGGGCCAUCGCUCAACGGAUAAAAGGUACUCCGGGGAUAACAGGCUGAUACCGCCCAAGAGUUCAUAUCGACGGCGGUGUUUGGCACCUCGAUGUCGGCUCAUCACAUCCUGGGGCUGAAGUAGGUCCCAAGGGUACGGCUGUUCGCCGUUUAAAGUGGUACGCGAGCUGGGUUUAGAACGUCGUGAGACAGUUCGGUCCCUAUCUGCCGUGGGCGCUGGAAGAUUGAGGGGGGUUGCUCCUAGUACGAGAGGACCGGAGUGAACGCACCGCUGGUGUUCGGGUUGUGAUGCCAAUUGCAUUGCCCGGUAGCUACGUGCGGAAAAGAUAAGCGCUGAAAGCAUCUAAGCGCGAAACUUGCCCCGAGAUGAGUCUUCCCUGGGAUUUUAAGUCCCCUAAAGGAACGUUAAAGACCAUGACGUAGAUAGGCUGGGUGUGUAAGUGCAGCGAUGUAUUGAGCUAACCAGUACUAAUGAACCGUGAGGCUUAACC
This 2908-nucleotide ribosomal RNA is filed under the name Leminorella richardii. RNAcentral describes it as "Bacterial large subunit ribosomal RNA". It matches the Rfam family "Bacterial large subunit ribosomal RNA". The record is from RNAcentral. Lineage: Bacteria; Pseudomonadati; Pseudomonadota; Gammaproteobacteria; Enterobacterales; Budviciaceae.